RNAcentral lists this ribosomal RNA (433 nucleotides) under uncultured bacterium. Its description in RNAcentral is "partial 16S ribosomal RNA". It matches the Rfam family "Bacterial small subunit ribosomal RNA", at positions 29 to 507 of the family's 1533-position model. The record is from RNAcentral.
AACGAACGCUGGCGGCAGGCUUAACACAUGCAAGUCGAGCGAGACCUUCGGGUCUAGCGGCGGACGGGUGAGUAACGCGUGGGAACGUGCCCUUCUCUACGGAAUAGCCCCGGGAAACUGGGAGUAAUGCCGUAUACGCCCUUUGGGGGAAAGAUUUAUCGGAGAAGGAUCGGCCCGCGUUGGAUUAGGUAGUUGGUGGGGUAAUGGCCCACCAAGCCGACGAUCCAUAGCUGGUUUGAGAGGAUGAUCAGCCACACUGGGACUGAGACACGGCCCAGACUCCUACGGGAGGCAGCAGUGGGGAAUCUUAGACAAUGGGGGCAACCCUGAUCUAGCCAUGCCGCGUGAGUGAUGAAGGCCUUAGGGUUGUAAAGCUCUUUCAGCUGGGAAGAUAAUGACGGUACCAGCAGAAGAAGCCCCGGCUAACUCCGUG